RNAcentral lists this unclassified non-coding RNA (230 nucleotides) under plant metagenome. Its description in RNAcentral is "partial contains small subunit ribosomal RNA, internal transcribed spacer 1, and 5.8S ribosomal RNA". The record is from RNAcentral.
UCUCCGUAGGUGAACCUGCGGAGGGAUCAUUACAGAGUUCUCGCCCUCGCGGGUCGAUUUCCCACCCCCUGUUAUCGUUACUGUCGUUUCUUUGUCGGGCCCCCGGGUCCCCGGCCGCCGGCGUCUAAUAGGCGGCGCGCGCCCGCCAGAGGCAUUCGAACCCUGAAUCUUAGUGUCGUCUGAGUACUAUAUACUAGUUAAAACUUUCAACAACGGAGCUCUUGGUUCUG